GGGCUCGAGCACGCCGGCGCGAGCAUGGAGGAUGCCGGAGCGAGCCUGCCUCUUAACGUUCCGUGAACAUGGCGGCGUCCAGUGUCCGUUACAGAGAAAGAGGACGACACACGAGGCUGCCCGCUGAAGGAUGUAGCAGAGAACAGCAGUGUCCCCAUCUUAUGCUGUCUGUGGCUGACACCAAGUGCUAAAACGCCUGCUGGAUGAAACUGUCUCCUUGUAGUAUUCUCAAAAACUGUUAAAGCAUGCACUUCCUUUGGGUAAAAUCUAAGUGGCCGAUCCGCUCCCGCUGCUCCCGUUCACCUUGGUUCCAUUUCUUCACGAGCAUUCUGGAGCUAUGGGUGGCUACUGUAGUUGCUGAUGGAAGCCAAGGUCUUGUCCUGUAUCUGAGCUCCAGUGUGUAUUCAAUCUUCCUGCCAGAGAUGCACCAAGGUCAACUUUCUUCAGGGGGCUCUCCAGAUAUGACAAUCACUGCACCCAAUCCAUGACACCAACCAGACGAGAGCUAGCAGAUUGACUUCACCCAUAUAACCAUUCAUAAAAAGCUCUACUAUCUCCUAACCCUCCCGAUACCUUGACAGGGUGGAUCAAGGCAUUCCCAACUUCCAGGGAAAUGAUGGAUGUGGGUGCUCAGGCACUCCAUAAACACAUCAAUCCUCAGUUUAAGCAUCCAAAGAGACAACGGUCCAGCCUUUACUCCCAAAGUGGUGGAGCUCAUCUCUAAAGUUUUGAACAUUUCCUGGAAACUGCAUAUUCUGUAUCCUCCACAGUCACUGAGAGCCAAAGGCCUCAUCAAACAACUCUCCCAGCUCUCCCUGGAGCUCAGGUUGCCUUGGCCCUCCUGCCAACCUCCAAGCCAUUCCAUGCUCUCCAUUGGCCUAGCCCCUUUGAGCCCCUGCAUGGAUGGCUGUUCCUCCUCAACCACCAUCUGGUGGCCCAGGCUCCCUCAGUGGCUGGCUACUUUCCCUUCUCUGGUCCCUCAUCCAUUCACAUGCUACACUCUCUCUUGGUCACCACAUCAAGGACUCAGCCACCACCAAACAUACCCUUCCUUCUCCAUGGGAUUGGAUGUCUCUUAAACAGCUCUCUUCCAAGCUUUUGGAGCCUCAGUGGACAGGACCCCAUACGUAAUCCUCACUAUCUCCUCAGCAGCUAUGUUCUUAGGAUAUCAGUGUUGGAACUACCUACCCAGGCUUAAAAGGGCAUCUAAAAAGGAUAGUUGGUCUGUUCAUGGGCUGGUCUCCACCACCCUCUGGUUCAAACAGCAAACUCUAUUGGCACUAUAGGGACUCCUUCCUACCCAUGUGAACCCUCAGCUUCUGGAAGGUCUGUACCCAGGUAAUUCCAGCAGUCUUUGAACAGCUGAUGAAAACAAAAAUGUCUACCAACAGGAGAGUCCCUCCUGUCCCAGGUGAUGGUGUUCCACCAGUCUCAGGUGGACCAACGGGACCUAUGCUCCACUCUAGAGAAACGUCCCUUGAUGUGGGAUGCCCCUUAUAUGGUGUGAAUAUGUAUUAUUACCAUGACCAUUUGUUAACAGAGCUGUUUUGGCCAAUAGCCAGGCAGAAUAGAGCCAGGUGGGAAAUCCAAGGAGAAUUACAGGGAAAAAGGAGGUGGAGUCAGGGAGAUGCCAUCAAACACCCCAAGGAACAACAUGCCAUAGCAUUACUGCUAAGCCACGGGUACGUGGCAAUACACCGAUUAAUAGAAAUGGGUGAAUGUAAAUGAAUGUAAAUGUAAGAGCUAGCAGGUAAUAAGUAUGCUAUGGCCAAUCAGUUUGUAAUUAA
Non-coding RNA from Myodes glareolus (Bank vole), 1787 nucleotides. The record is from RefSeq and is a predicted model, not a curated record. Lineage: Eukaryota; Metazoa; Chordata; Mammalia; Rodentia; Cricetidae.